CGGUUCUUGUAAUUUCGCUGUGCUUGCAUGAAAUGUGAUAUUGUCUCUAAAAUAUUACAUGAUCUAGCAAAGGUUCAGUAAUUCCUUGAUGGUAUGUGCUGUUCAGCGAUGCAUGUAGAUGCAUGUAGAAAUCUGGGUGGUAAGAGAGAGAAAUAACAAACCUGUGUGCAUUUCUGUUAUUUCCUGAAACCACAGUGAGACUUGGAAAAUGAAACUGCCGCUGUUCUUCUAUUGUUCUGUAUAGUGCCGAAAUGUUUUCAAGAGAGAUAGCAGGCAGGAGAGAGUGUCACUAAAGGUCCCUGAUGUUGGUCUACUUUAUAAUUGAUAGGUCUCCAGAGUUAAAUUUCAUGGCUAGCAUUACAAGAUCCAGUUGUAUCUCCUUCAGGGUGCACAGAGCAGUAAAUAUGGCUGCAUAACUGACUUGAUAUAUGAACCUAAGUCUAAGUCACAUAUGAAAGAAUGGUCUUUACCUUUGAAAGACAGCAUCAGUUUUUAUAGCACAGUAGCCUCUGCCACACCCUCCCAAAUCCACCUGCUUUCCUUUAUAAUCCCAAUGAAGCUGGAACAUUUGCUCAAGAGUCCAUUCUCCAUGAGAUUAGCAUUACAUGACCUUCUGAUGUAAUGAAUGGAGUGAAACAACAUGAUGUUGUGGUACAUUCUGGAACUAAAUGUAGAAGCAGCUGCUCUUUUGUAUGUAACAUCAGUCAUAUUGUUUCCUUCUCUGUGCAAUUUUGAAUCAAUUCAAGUGCCUGUCAGAAAAGAGAAUGUUAACCCUGAACCUGGUUAUGUUUUCGAUAGUAAAGUGCUCCUUUUGUUGCGGGGCAUUUCGAAGUGGUGAAAUCAGACCCUCCAAGUCUGAUAUUUCCUGAAAAUGUCAGUGGGACAAGUCUGAAAAAGGAUACAGUUCCACAACUCACUCUACACUAACAUUUUACUACCUGGUCAUUCAAAGGUUGAUGAGUAGAUUCAUCAGUGUGAAGGAGAUGAGGUUUCACUGAAUGUUUCAUUGACUAGUGUAAGGUAACAAUACAAAUGACAGAGAGCCACCAGUCUGUCUCUGAAAUGAUGAGUAUAUUUAGCUUUAUGUUUGAGGUGGUGUUACAUCUUCUCAAACAAAUAAGCAAACGCAAGGAAUAUAAAGUAUACUGUUAAAAAAACAGUCACCCAACUUUGUAUUAUAUAUAGGGCCUACAUAAAAAAAGAAUGAAGAAUCAUCACAAUUAUUGCUGCACUUACACUGCCUGGACAGGAAAAAAAAAGUUGCUGUCUGGAUUU
Molecule: long non-coding RNA, 1275 nt
Organism: Cyprinus carpio carpio
Lineage: Eukaryota; Metazoa; Chordata; Actinopteri; Cypriniformes; Cyprinidae
Source: Ensembl